RNAcentral lists this ribosomal RNA (492 nucleotides) under uncultured bacterium. Its description in RNAcentral is "partial 16S ribosomal RNA". It matches the Rfam family "Bacterial small subunit ribosomal RNA", at positions 29 to 507 of the family's 1533-position model. The record is from RNAcentral.
AGUGAACGCUGGCGGUAGGCCUAACACAUGCAAGUCGAACGGCAGCACAGUAAGAGCUUGCUCUUACGGGUGGCGAGUGGCGGACGGGUGAGGAAUACAUCGGAAUCUACUUUUUCGUGGGGGAUAACGGAGGGAAACUUACGCUAAUACCGCAUACGACCUACGGGUGAAAGCAGGGGUUCUUCGGACCUUGCGCGAUUGAAUGAGCCGAUGUCGGAUUAGCUAGUUGGCGGGGUAAAGGCCCACCAAGGCGACGAUCCGUAGCUGGUCUGAGAGGAUGAUCAGCCACACUGGAACUGAGACACGGUCCAGACUCCUACGGGAGGCAGCAGUGGGGAAUAUUGGACAAUGGGCGCAAGCCUGACCCAGCCAUACCGCGUGAGUGAAGAAGGCCUUCGGGUUGUAAAGCCCUUUUGUUGGGAAAGAAAAGCAGCAGGUUAAUACCCCGCUGUUCUGACGGUACCCAAAGAAUAAGCACCGGCUAACUUCGUG